UCCUCAAUUCUCAACGUGUGUCCCUCUGGAAGGCUCCCUUCGAGUGCCACGUUUCUCAUCAUCUUCCUCUUCCUUCUGCCCAGAGAUAUCAAGCAGACUUGCCUAGAAAUUUAGCCCCAUGUUCUUCUCUGCGCAGCUCCUCUAUGGCCGGUGGCCUUCUCCUCCAACGACGUGGUCGUCACUGAGGCGCUCAGAUCUUCUCCCACACCCGCUUCCCCCGGCCACCGUAGAUCCCCUUCACGCUGGGUGGGUGCACGACCACCAACAACAACGCUAGCGGCUGCUCCAGAUCGAGGUCCCUGGUUUUUUCCAUGGCAGCCCCACCACCACCGAGUCCGGGUGCCCUCAAGCGGUGAUCUUGAGCGGCUAUUCCUCAGUGCCAUGUCAUGGGCAGUGGCGGCGAGGGACUUCAGCCGGCGGCCAAUCCAGAAGAGAGGAGGGGUCGGGAGCGUACAGAGUAGUUUUAUCCAGAUCCCCACCACUGUUUCAUCAAAGGGAAAAUAGAGGAGGCAGCGCAGCCGCCCCCCUUUAAGACUUCCCGUGGAGUUUCCUGGUCUCCGGCUGCGCGCGGUCGCUGGCCCUCUGGCAGGGGCGGCAUGUGUUAAGAGGGCGAGGUGCAGAGCCGUUUUGAUGGCGGCCCUUGACCCCGCCGGGCUGGUUCGCCAUGUGGGCGCUCGACGACUAGGACGUGCCUGCUCCGAUUUCGGGAGCGUGUCGUCGCAUCGAAGCCACUCUUCUUCCACCUGUACGACGAACAGGAAGUAUAGGACGCUACCGCCAUGGCAACAGAUGGAGCAGCGCAAGGACGGAGAUUACUACAUGCAUCUGACACUAGCUGAAAAAGCACUUCUGCCCCGUUGCUACACCAAACAGAUUCCACCCCAAGAAGCUGAUACAAGAUAAUAAUUAGGCAAGAUCGCAAAUUGGCAGAUAUUCAAUGGGUACUGGCCGGCUAACAAUAAAAGAUGUGUUUACCAGUGACAUUCAGUAAUCUACAACAGUCAGGGCGCUGCCACAAUAUUGUUUCACUAUUCAGAUGCUUUCUUGAUAGGGUUGACAUCUACUCAGGUAGUUCAUAAUGCAAGCAGCAGUAGAUAGUUCUUGAUGCAGGCAACGGUAAUGCAUGUUCACAUAUGUCCGUGCACAUGUCAACUGAAGAGAAAUUUGCAGUAUCCUUUGUCUAUUUGUAUGGGAUUUGGGAUUUCUGCAGAAAUGUUUCAGUCUUGCUAUAGUCGGGGUCUCUUGCGAGGCGAGUGAAUUUGGAUUCUUUGUCAAUUUGAGGCGCUGGUACUAGCUAAAUUCUUCGCCAUCUCUGCAUCUGCUUUUGGUUUUUGUUAGUUUCAGGUGAGGUAGUAGGAUUUAGGCAUUUUCGGAGCGUAUUUUACUAGACAAGUUUUGAUUAGCAAUGUGGUGAGGUAGUAUGAUUUAUGCAUUUUUGGAACUUAUUUUACUAUACACGUUUUGAUUAGCAAUGUAGUGUUCUGCAGUAGAUAUAUCUUCAGUUUCUGGGAUCCUAAUCAUUGCUUGGUUCUCUUUCUAAUAACUUGUGUUUUAUGCUAAAAUAUAGAAUGUUUUAUUUGAAGUAGAAUCCUAGCUUUUGUUUUGGUAAUCUGUUUUCUGUAAAUAGCUUGCAAGUGCUAUUGAUUGUCCUACAGAAAUCCUCAAGAUGCAGGGAGGUUUGAAAAUUAUGAUACUAUUUGCAAAAAAAAAGUACCAUGUGGCCGAUGCAUAUUUACUGUAUCCUCCAUGAAAAAUUAGAUACUUUGGGAGACUUAUGUAACGUAAGUCUUGAAUCCUUAUAAUGGUCAGCAUGUGCACAUUUGGUUGUUGUAUUGCAUGGUUAUAGCCUUAUAGGCGUUUGGCGAUGGUCAUGUGGUCGAUGUAAAUAUUGGUCCCUCUUUAGUCCUGGUGAUGAUUGUGUUCGGGCUUAUGAUGGUUCCUAAUACCUUCCAAUUUCUCGCAUAUGUUUUCUUCUCUACGCAGUUAUGUUCCAUUUCUGAAUUUGUUGCAGAUUCAGGGGUUUAAAUUAACACGAUAUAUGCUUGAUGGGGAUUAAGUGAUGUACCAUUGUAUGUGAGCUUUUGAAUGAUAUGCCAACCACUGUUCACAUCUUCCUUUGCUAGAAGGUUAGCUGAUUCUAACUUUUACUUCGAGCUGCUCCCGUCCUUGACCUGUGAAUUGUUAGGUUCCCAAGAAAUUGGUUCAACUAUAAUACAGUAGUCAGUGCACGAGACGGAGAUAAGGCAUCACUGCAUUAGGUAGCUGUAUUCACCGCAGGUUAAGAGUUUAUUUCUUCAGUUAUCAUUUUUUCAAUUUCCUCACAAACCUCUUUCUCCAGCUACAAUUUUUGUGUGUCAUGCACACGAAUUGAAGGGAUCAUGUAUCUAAGUAGUACUCCACAGUGUUCAACUACAGGCUGAUUUCAAAAUGUUUUCACUAACAAGGAACUUGGAACUACUUGAUCCUUUGAAUGUUUCCAUGCAGGACAAUUCUAUUACUCAUAGGGCAAAUCAUCGAUUGCGCGAACCAACUCAAGGAGACACUGUAGCUACUGUUUGGAACAUUGCAGGCCCAAGAGUUUACUCGGACGCAGCGUGGAGAAGCAAAAAAGCCCCAGGUGACGAAGCAAUAGGAGCUACUGGAAUCGGAAUCUUCAUCCAAUUUCAAAGAGAAGGCCAGAACUUCAACAUUAUGAUCCAGGCUUCGACAGAUUAUUGUUCUUCGGCUUUGCAGGCAGAGGCCAAAGCUAUGCAACUAGCAACAUCAGUCUCAGAAGCUCUGCAUCUUACUAGGCCAACCUUCCUAACGGACAACUUAAGCUUGGCAAAGGCGGUUGCAGAUCUGAAAAUUGACACCCACCACCUGCACUGGAACUGCAGGAACACGCUGGCUAUGAUUCUCAAUUCCUUUACAAAACAGCAAAGCCAGGUGUUCCAUAUAAAGAGAGACUUGAAUGGUGGUGCUCACAACUGUGCUCAUCAGGUGCUUAGGAGAUCCCUAGGUUCACCUAUCCUAGACUGCUCUUCUUCAGCUCACACCUCUCCUCACUGUCCUGCUAUCUCUUCUCUCAUUGGAAUAGAUUGGCAGGGAUUUGUAAUACAUGAUGUACAUUGUUGCUGAGUUGAGGAAUGAAAAUUUUGGCGCCUCGGGCGCCUUCUAUGUUCAAAAGAAAAA
This is a non-coding RNA of Lolium perenne, 3174 nucleotides long. NCBI's taxonomy places the organism in Eukaryota, Viridiplantae, Streptophyta, Magnoliopsida, Poales, Poaceae. The record is from RefSeq and is a predicted model, not a curated record.